UACGUAGGUGGCAAGCGUUGUCCGGAUUUAUUGGGUUUAAAGGGUGCGUAGGCGGCCCUGUAAGUCAGUGCUGAAAUAUCCCGGCUUAACCGGGAGGGUGGCAUUGAUACUGUAGGGCUUGGGUAGAGUUGAGGUUGGCGGAAUUGACGGUGUAGCGGUGAAAUGCUUAGAUAUCGUCAAGAACACCGAUAGUGUAGACAGCUAACUAAGCUCUAACUGACGCUGAGGCACGAAAGUGUGGGGAUCAAACAGG
This 253-nucleotide ribosomal RNA is filed under the name uncultured bacterium. RNAcentral's name for it is "partial 16S ribosomal RNA". It matches the Rfam family "Bacterial small subunit ribosomal RNA", at positions 524 to 776 of the family's 1533-position model. The record is from RNAcentral.